Molecule: ribosomal RNA, 2223 nt
Filed under: Triticum aestivum (bread wheat)
Lineage: Eukaryota; Viridiplantae; Streptophyta; Magnoliopsida; Poales; Poaceae
Description: partial small subunit ribosomal RNA
Source: RNAcentral
AUGCAUAAGCUCGUAAACGUUCAUUAUUUGGACAAGUCGACAUUUAUGCUUGGAAAUGACGAUGAAGGGGAAGAGGCUAUGGUUUUUGACACAAGUCCAAGCUUUGAUGAUCUUGUAGUUCAAGUGAGAAGCGUCUUACAUUGGAAUGACCCAAAUGCCGAGGUUAAGCUUAUUGGGAGGUAUGACGUUGGAUUGGGAGUAAAGUCCCGAUUAAAGAGUAUGCCCAUCACCUCCCAAUUGCAUUGGAAUGUGUACAAGGAAAAAGUAGACGCAUCACAAGACAAGUCUCUUGAGAUCUUUGCCACAAAGGUUGAUCCUCCUCCUUUGCAAAUUGAUCUCAACCGCAAUGCAUCCUCCCCCAUGCAUGAUGACAGUGCCGAGGUGUAUGUCCCCAAUUCUUCUAGCCAACCACCAAGUAGCCAACCCAAUGAAGAUCAUAUCAACGCUAGCGCCAUAGUACUCCGUCAUGAUGCUAUUCCUCAUGUUGAAGAAGAUGCCAUUCCUCAUGUUGAUGAUGAUGCUAUUGUUGCUCUAGAGGAGGAUGUUUACUCGGAGAAUGAAGAGAUCCAUUACAAUCCAAUUGGUAACUUGGAUGCCAUUGUGCGGCAACAAGACAUUGACCGUACCCUCCCUUAUAACCGUAUGUGUGGGUAUAACUCGGAUGACGAGGGUCCGGAGGAAGAGUUGGAUGAGGAUGGGUUGACUGCGCAAGAAAACGAAAUCUACAAGAAGGUGACCGGCAAGGAGAGAGGGCCGUCUUUGUUUAGAGAUGUGAGUCUUGCGGACAAUGCAGUCGUUGAUGAUGGGAUGAGAUUAUGGUUGUCCGAGCCAACGCCGUGCCCCAAAUUUAGUGAUCCUCGACCAGAAAAUGAGGAUGAGAAUACUCAUUUGAAGAAAGGCAUCAAGUUUGGUUCUUUGAUAGAGUUCAAGAUAUGGUUGUGUGACUAUGCCAUUAGGAACCAUAGGCCGUUUGUUGUUGGUCAUUCAAAUCAAAAACUUCGGUACACGGUCAAAUGUGACAAAGAAGGUUGCAAAUGGAUGGUCCGCGGUAGAAAAAUCAAAGAAACCGGGCAAUGGGUCUUGAAGAGUCAUGUUCGCACUCACACGUGCGUACCCCCAGACAAGGCUGACCAAAGCAAAGGACACCGUCAACUCACAUUGGAGUAUCUAGGAUAUAAAUUGUUGCAUAAAAUAGCACAUGAUCCAACCGUGAAGGUCAAGUUUCUCAUGUCUUUGAUUGAGGAACAAUUCGGACACCCGGUCAAGUACGGGAAGGCAUGGAUGGCGAAGGCAAACGCUAUUAGGAUGUUGCAUGGUGAUUAUGAGGCCGCAUAUAACAUUCUCCCCAAGACGUUGGCAGCAAUUGCUCAUCGAAACCCGGGAAUGCGCCAUCGGGUGGAGUCAAUUGGCGGAGUGUUUCAUCGUGCCUUCUGGAGCUUUGGACAAUGCAUUGAGGCAUUCACGUAUUGUCGCCCGGUGUUGUCUAUAGAUGGUACAUUCUUGACCGGCAAAUACAAGGGAACAUUGAUGGUGGCGAUGGCCCACUCUUCAAAUGAUAACGUGUUGCCGGUGGCAUUUGCCUUGGUGCCUUCGGAGCACGAUGAUAAUUGGGAGUGGUUCAUGGAGCAUGUGAGAACCAAGGUGAUAGGCAACAGAGAGGUAUGCAUUAUAUCGGAUCGCCAUCAUGGGAUUCUCAAAGCAAUAGACGUUGAUAUUCCCGGUCUUCCAAAGCUUCAACACCGUUGGUGCAUGAGACGCUUUGUUGCAAACUUUUACCGGGCAUGCAAGAGCAAGGAGUUUUGCAAAGACCUUACCCUUGUUUGCGUUGCUUUCAACACCGCCACAUUCAAGACCCGAUAUGAUAAACUCCUCGAGGCUUUGGAAAAGAACAAAGGGGGGAAAGAAUUCUUGGUUAGGCACUUUCCGGAGAAGGAAAAGUGGUCACGCGCUUACGAUGAAGGAGGUAUGCGAUAUGGGGACAUGACAAGCAACAUGGUGGAAUGCUUCAGGAAUGUGUUGAAGGGUGUCCGUUCCUUGCCGGUGACCGCAAUACUCAAGUACACUUUCAUCAAGCUCAAUGAGUACUUCCUAAAGCAUUCUGCAAGCACGGCCAAGUGGAUUGGGGAAAAGAUGGACUAUCCAUUAAAGGUUCAUGACUGGUUGUUGCAUCAAGCGCGCAAGUCUGCCAAACAACAAGUGAUCACAUAUAAUGAAAAAGAAUGA